This 427-nucleotide ribosomal RNA is filed under the name uncultured bacterium. RNAcentral's name for it is "partial 16S ribosomal RNA". It matches the Rfam family "Bacterial small subunit ribosomal RNA", at positions 355 to 774 of the family's 1533-position model. The record is from RNAcentral.
UGGGGAAUAUUGCACAAUGGGCGCAAGCCUGAUGCAGCCAUGCCGCGUGUAUGAAGAAGGCCUUCGGGUUGUAAAGUACUUUCAGCGGGGAGGAAGGUGUUGAGGUUAAUAACCUCAGCAAUUGACGUUACCCGCAGAAGAAGCACCGGCUAACUCCGUGCCAGCAGCCGCGGUAAUACGGAGGGUGCAAGCGUUAAUCGGAAUUACUGGGCGUAAAGCGCACGCAGGCGGUCUGUCAAGUCGGAUGUGACAUCCCCGGGCGCAACCUGGGAACUGCAUUCGAAACUGGCAGGCUAGAGUCUUGUAGAGGGGGGUAGAAUUCCAGGUGUAGCGGUGAAAUGCGUAGAGAUCUGGAGGAAUACCGGUGGCGAAGGCGGCCCCCUGGACAAAGACUGACGCUCAGGUGCGAAAGCGUGGGGAGCAAACA